RNAcentral lists this long non-coding RNA (345 nucleotides) under Anas platyrhynchos platyrhynchos (common mallard). RNAcentral describes it as "lncRNA (ENSAPLG00000030787.1)". Lineage: Eukaryota; Metazoa; Chordata; Aves; Anseriformes; Anatidae. The record is from RNAcentral.
GUGAAUUUGUAGACGCUCGAUUGCCAUGGCAACCCCGCAGCCCUCCUCCUCCUGAGCUGCCUGCGAGCGCGCCUUUGGCUGGGGACCCAGCAGCUGCCUCCACUGCCAGGAGCUGGGAGGAGAGCAGGGGCAAAAGGCUCAUUCAGCUCGAUGCGGGCAGAUAUCAGCACCUUCAGACACGUCAAAGCAGCCUCGAGGAGCCGUGGAAGGAUGCCAGUGAACAUAACCUCUGCGACUGCUGGAGGAAUCGUUCCGGGGAGGAAUUAGCAGCACAAUAUUAGUUGCAGGCAAAGAACUUAAUUAGCAGAUUCAGCAGAGAUUCCAAUUAAAAAAAUAAGAAGGGAA